AUAUUUUUUUUAAGAUUAAAAAGAAAAGUGUUUGCUGUGGACAUGACCAUAAAGAAAAGUUCCCAUGGGGUUUUCCACACACUACCUGACUAGCAGUUAACCUGUUGGGGACAUUU
Molecule: small nucleolar RNA, 116 nt
Organism: Mus spicilegus (steppe mouse)
Lineage: Eukaryota; Metazoa; Chordata; Mammalia; Rodentia; Muridae
Source: Ensembl